Planococcus citri (citrus mealybug) is the source of this 921-nucleotide long non-coding RNA. RefSeq lists it as uncharacterized. The transcript has 4 exons. The record is from RefSeq and is a predicted model, not a curated record. NCBI's taxonomy places the organism in Eukaryota, Metazoa, Arthropoda, Insecta, Hemiptera, Pseudococcidae.
UUACGCUAAUGAGUGUUCUGUCUUUCUUUUCUUUCAGAUUUUGUAUUUCGUAACAAUUUCUGCCUGCCCUCUUCACAAUCGCAUAUGGCCCAUUCUGUUUGACAUAAAGUUUAGCGGAAGCAAGUUUAUCUGCUGAUGAUUGACGAUGAUUCGUAAUCAUCACCAGUUCACCAGAUGGAUUAAUGCCUGGUGGUAUGACAUUAGGUCUAUUCGAGCCGUGUCAACUUCUUCCGUAUAUACAGCCUUUCUUGCAAGUUGAUCCGCAGUGAAGUUUCCGUAAUCAGUUUUUCGAGCGUAGGUUUUCCGGAAUUAUUUUUCCAUUUGUUUUCUACCCAUCGAUCACAUUCAGAGUUGAUUGCUAACGUGACAUAUUGAGAAUCCGUGAAAAUCAUUAGUUUCGUAACUCCAUGGAAAUGUUCUUCGAUCCUUCCGGAUGCCAACAGAUUCCGAUACCAGCAAUUGCAUCUUCGUCACCGUUGUUUGCACAAGCUCCAUCUACCCAAACCCAUACGUGACCAUCGGAUGCUGUAUAGACGUCGUUUAACAUAUCUAAUUUCGUAGAUCUAAGUUCUUCUAUCGUGAUAGAUGGUACUUGUUUGUUUCUAGCAGUUUUACGUAAUUCCUUUAGCUCAUAGUGAGCAUUAAUCGGGACUCGGUCGAUAGGUAGGUUCAAAACAAAAUCAUUAAUUUCCCAAAGGUCAUUAGGUAGAAUGCCGACUUCGUUAGGGCAAUUGUUGAUUUCGUCUUCGACUUCUUUAGUGUAGUGAUGCCAUCCUUCAUGGGAAUAUGCUCCUCUACAGUCAAAAUUGAUUUUUAGUCGUAAGCGUUCUCCGAUCAUUCUCAUUGAUCGUUCAACUGGGUUGGACUGUGGGAUAUAGGGUGUUGAAUUUCCUACGGUGAUUUUUUGUUUUGUAAGGGUUU